GCCCGGGUGGCUCAGUCGGUUGAGCAUCUGACUUGGGCUCAGGUCAUGAUCUCAAGGUUCGUGGGUUCGAACCCCACGUCGGGCU
This 85-nucleotide transfer RNA is filed under the name Felis catus (domestic cat). RNAcentral's name for it is "tRNA-Pro (TGG) (tRNA-Pro-TGG-4-1)". It matches the Rfam family "tRNA". From Rfam's summary of the family: Transfer RNA (tRNA) molecules are approximately 80 nucleotides in length. Their secondary structure includes four short double-helical elements and three loops (D, anti-codon, and T loops). Further hydrogen bonds mediate the characteristic L-shaped molecular structure. tRNAs have two regions of fundamental functional importance: the anti-codon, which is responsible for specific mRNA codon recognition, and the 3' end, to which the tRNAs corresponding amino acid is attached (by aminoacyl-tRNA synthetases). tRNAs cope with the degeneracy of the genetic code in two manners: having more than one tRNA (with a specific anti-codon) for a particular amino acid; and 'wobble' base-pairing, i.e. permitting non-standard base-pairing at the 3rd anti-codon position. The record is from Rfam by way of RNAcentral. Lineage: Eukaryota; Metazoa; Chordata; Mammalia; Carnivora; Felidae.